Molecule: ribosomal RNA, 497 nt
Filed under: uncultured bacterium
Lineage: Bacteria
Description: partial 16S ribosomal RNA
Rfam family: Bacterial small subunit ribosomal RNA
Source: RNAcentral
GAUGAACGCUGGCGGCGUGCCUAAUACAUGCAAGUCGAGCGAACGGACGAGAAUCUUGCUUCUCUGAUGUUAGCGGCGGACGGGUGAGUAACACGUGGAUAACCUACCUAUAAGACUGGGAUAACUUCGGGAAACCGGAUCUAAUACCGGAUAAUAUUUUGAACCGCAUGGUUCAAAAGUGAAAGACGGUCUUGCUGUCACUAAUAGAUGGAUCCGCGCUGCAUUAGCUAGUUGGUAAGGUAACGGCUUACCAAGGCAACGAUGCAUAGCCGACCUGAGAGGGUGAUCGGCCACACUGGAACUGAGACACGGUCCAGACUCCUACGGGAGGCAGCAGUAGGGAAUCUUCCGCAAUGGGCGAAAGCCUGACGGAGCAACGCCGCGUGAGUGAUGAAGGUCUUCGGAUCGUAAAACUCUGUUAUUAGGGAAGAACAUAUGUGUAAGUAACUGUGCACAUCUUGACGGUACCUACUCAGAAAGCAACGGCUAACUACGUG